CCUACGGGAGGCAGCAGUGAGGAAUAUUGGUCAAUGGCCGGAAGUCUGAACCAGCCAAGUCGCGUGAGGGACGACUGCCCUGUGCGUUGUAGACCUCUUUUGUCGGGGGAGAAUACAUGCUACUUGUACCCUCCUGCCUGUACCUUGUGAAUAAGCAUCGGCUAACUCCGUGCCAGCAGCCGCGGUAAUACGGAGGAUGCGAGCGUUAUCCGGAUUUAUUGGGUUUAAAGGGUGCGUAGGCGGGUUUUUAAGUUCGUGGUUAAACGUCGGGGCUUCACCUUGCUGUGCCAUUAAGACUGUAAGACUUGAGUGCAGACGAGGCAGGCGGAAUAAGCGAAGUAGCGGUGAAAUGCUUAGAU
Molecule: ribosomal RNA, 359 nt
Filed under: uncultured bacterium
Lineage: Bacteria
Description: partial 16S ribosomal RNA
Rfam family: Bacterial small subunit ribosomal RNA
Source: RNAcentral